This 468-nucleotide ribosomal RNA is filed under the name uncultured bacterium. RNAcentral describes it as "partial 16S ribosomal RNA". It matches the Rfam family "Bacterial small subunit ribosomal RNA", at positions 28 to 507 of the family's 1533-position model. The record is from RNAcentral.
GACGAACGCUGGCGGCGUGCUUAACACAUGCAAGUCGAACGGAAAGGCCCUGCUUUUGUGGGGUGCUCGAGUGGCGAACGGGUGAGUAACACGCGAGUAACCUGCCCUUGACUUUGGGAUAACUUCAGGAAACUGGGGCUAAUACCGGAUAGGAGCUCCUGCUGCAUGGUGGGGGUUGGAAAGUUUCGGCGGUUGGGGAUGGACUCGCGGCUUAUCAGCUUGUUGGUGGGGUAGUGGCUUACCAAGGCUUUGACGGGUAGCCGGCCUGAGAGGGUGACCGGCCACAUUGGGACUGAGAGACGGCCCAGACUCCUACGGGAGGCAGCAGUGGGGAAUAUUGCACAAUGGGCGGAAGCCUGAUGCAGCAACGCCGCGUGCGGGAUGACGGCCUUCGGGUUGUAAACCGCUUUCGCCUGUGACGAAGCGUGAGUGACGGUAAUGGGUAAAGAAGCACCGGCUAACUACGUG